CCCCAGUCCUUAAUUUUUCUUUCCACAGUUUUCUAUCAAGCCUCCACCCCCCUCCGCGCCCCUCACCUCCAGCUGGCGGGAACCUCUAGACCAGACCACAGACCAGCCAAUCAGCCUAGUAACCACACAUCCAAGGUGCAGCGCGCCUGGGUGCUGGUGGGCGUCUCUGCGCCAGGAAUAGCUUCAGCCCACAUCCAGCCACCUCAAAAGCGCCCGGGGAAGAGGAUCGGCGUGAAACCGCCGCCUCGGCCCAUUCGAAAGCGGACCUCCCGUUCCCGCUCCAACUUGGCGCUGCUGCCAGCCUGUCUGGGGACCCAAAGGGGGUGGCCUGGGGACUCCUCAAGUGCGGGCUGAUGUGCUCCCCCU
This 366-nucleotide long non-coding RNA is filed under the name Dasypus novemcinctus (nine-banded armadillo). RNAcentral's name for it is "lncRNA (ENSDNOG00000051603.1)". The record is from RNAcentral. Lineage: Eukaryota; Metazoa; Chordata; Mammalia; Cingulata; Dasypodidae.